Molecule: ribosomal RNA, 886 nt
Filed under: uncultured archaeon
Lineage: Archaea
Description: bacterial SSU rRNA
Rfam family: Archaeal small subunit ribosomal RNA
Source: RNAcentral
CCGAGGCCAUUGCUAUCGGAGUUCGAUUUAGCCAUGCUAGUCGCACGGGUUUAGACCCGUGGCGAAAAGCUCAGUAACACGUGGCCAAACUACCCUAUGGAUCGGAAUAACCUCGGGAAACUGAGGUCAAUUCCGAAUACCGCUCCUGCACUGGGAUGUGCGGAGCAAGAAAUGCUUCGGCGCCAUAGGAUGUGGCUGCGGCCGAUUAGGUUGACGGUGGGGUAACGGCCCACCGUGCCCAUAAUCGGUACGGGUUGUGAGAGCAAGAGCCCGGAGACGGUAUCUGAGACAAGAUACCGGGCCCUACGGGGCGCAGCAGGCGCGAAACCUUUACACUGCACGACAGUGCGAUAAGGGAACUCCGAGUGCGGAGGCAUAGAGCCUUCGCUUUUGUACACCGUAAGGUGGUGCACGAAUAAGGGCUGGGCAAGACCGGUGCCAGCCGCCGCGGUAAUACCGGCAGCCCAAGUGAUGGCCGAUAUUAUUGGGCCUAAAGCGUCCGUAGCUGGCCGGACAAGUCCGUUGGGAAAUCCGCGCGCUCAACGCGCGGGCGUCCAGCGGAAACUGUCCGGCUUGGGGCCGGAAGACCUGAGGGGUACGUCCGGGGUAGGAGUGAAAUCCUGUAAUCUCGGACGGACCGUCUGUGGCGAAAGCGCCUCAGGAAGACGGACCCGACAGUGAGGGACGAAAGCCAGGGUCUCGAACCGGAUUAGAUACCCGGGUAGUCCUGGCUGUAAACGAUGUCCGCUAGGUGUGGCUCCCACUACGAGUGGGUGCUGUGCCGUAGGGAAGCCGCUAAGCAGACCGCCUGGGAAGUACGUCCGCAAGGAUGAAACUUAAAGGAAUUGGCGGGGGAGCACUACAACCGGAGGAGCCUGCGGUUAAU